UCCACCACUGUGCAUAUUUGAGCACACUGAAUAUGCCAUAUGUAUUUCAAAUACCAUGUAACACAUUGUGCAAAUUACAAAGGGAUCUGAGUUAUCUCAGCACACUACUUGCACACAUCCCACCACUUUACAGAUUACAUUGUCCUAGCACACUACUUGUUGACAUCAGAUCUCGAAAUGACUUCCUUCAUAUUACAAGACAAUAGCAAGACUAUUGAGUAGAAAAAGAAAACAAAGCUACACAUCUGUUCUCACUCAAAACAAACAUGGGAUGAGUUGGUUAUUUCUAACGGCCAUUCUACGAUUGAAUAGAUGAAAGUAGCAGUUUUUCAGCUCUUGAUAGUAAUAUGGACACCAUAAUCAAUUUUGACUGCUGCAAUAUCUGAGUCAGUCACAACAGCAAUAGUGAGAAAUCUAGGGAACAGAGAAUGACUCCUCAUAAGCUUCAAUUUCCUUAGAUCCCACACUUCUGAAAUUAUUAUUACCUGCAAAGUAUAUAUGACAGAGAUGAGAAUACAAAAAUACUAUAAACAAAUUACUCUCAAAAUAACUCUGAAAUACUUGCUGAAUUUUGCCUCAUAUAUACCAACUGCAAAGAGCUUGUUUGUAAAAAUGCAGAAAUGAGCAAUUCAGUAUUUGGCAAACCAGGCUUACUUGUGCAUCGACAUUUUAUAGUAAAAAAUACAGAGGAAAUUAUUUAUUUUGCAGGACCAAAUAUCUGCAUAGGAGUCAAUCACAUGAGACUAAUAAACUUAGAGAAUAGAGGUCAACACAUAUUUAUCUUGGAGAUAUUGCUGACGCAACUAAAACUAAAGAGUUUGCUAGUUUCAGUAAACCGAAGGAGGCUGACCUAAAUCACUAAAUUAGACCCCACCCCCACCCCCACAAUGCAAAACAAGAUAAAUUUGCCAUGACAAAAACAGGUCAUUGUUUACACUUGUAAUCUUGAAUCCAUUAUAAAGUUUGUUGACACCUUUUGUACUGUAUAUGCUGCAUAUGUAGACCUACAUACACCCCCGUUAAUUAGUUGAUGGAAAUACAAACCUCGAGUAGGGAAAUCAAUGCAGCGGCCACGGCAACGAGAUGAAGCGAGGGCUACGGAUGAAAUAGAAAAUGGUAUGGUGACGCCGGCGGCUACAGACUGUCGAUUGAGGUAGCAGUGGCUGCAGAUGACGGAGGGAAUCGACCGAAACAAGCCAAGAGAGAUCGAGCGAACCUUAGCGAAUGAGGCGACCAGCGAAAAAAUAUGCCACAAUUGGAGCAUCUCGAUGGAGAGAAGAGGAGAGAGAUCGAUGCCUCCUGUUUUUUUCGUGAUCCCCUUCGGUGCGAGACAGCCAGCCGUGAGGAGCGAGACAGCUGUGAGCGAGCCUGGCUCUAGAUCGCACAAUCGCCCGCACAUGGAGCCGUCCGCAUCUCUCCAUUGGAUCGUGUGCAAAAUCGGGAGACGGGCUGUACGAUAGACAGGCUGCAGCCCGUCUGCACCAAUUUUUCUUCCAAAUAGUUUGGAGCUGAGGUAGUGCACUGACACGCCAG
RNAcentral lists this long non-coding RNA (1533 nucleotides) under Oryza brachyantha (malo sina). RNAcentral's name for it is "long non-coding RNA (OBRA_LNC001800)". The record is from RNAcentral. Lineage: Eukaryota; Viridiplantae; Streptophyta; Magnoliopsida; Poales; Poaceae.